This 253-nucleotide ribosomal RNA is filed under the name uncultured bacterium. RNAcentral describes it as "partial 16S ribosomal RNA". It matches the Rfam family "Bacterial small subunit ribosomal RNA", at positions 524 to 776 of the family's 1533-position model. The record is from RNAcentral.
UACGUAGGGUGCAAGCGUUGUCCGGAAUUAUUGGGCGUAAAGAGCUUGUAGGCGGUUUGUCGCGUCUGCUGUGAAAUCUCAAGGCUCAACCUUGAGCUUGCAGUGGGUACGGGCAGACUAGAGUGUGGUAGGGGAGACUGGAAUUCCUGGUGUAGCGGUGAAAUGCGCAGAUAUCAGGAGGAACACCGAUGGCGAAGGCAGGUCUCUGGGCCACUACUGACGCUGAGAAGCGAAAGCGUGGGGAGCGAACAGG